This is a long non-coding RNA of Phascolarctos cinereus (koala), 232 nucleotides long. RefSeq lists it as uncharacterized. NCBI's taxonomy places the organism in Eukaryota, Metazoa, Chordata, Mammalia, Diprotodontia, Phascolarctidae. The record is from RefSeq and is a predicted model, not a curated record.
ACGCACUCGGGGCUGCCGGUCCUGGGAGCGGGAGCGUCCUGGCGUCUGGCGUCAAAGACAGUUUCCGUGCUGUAACACCAUCACAAUCUCACCAAGUGAGAGGGACCCAUACUAAACAAUGGAGAACAUUCUGGCACGUGCUUAUCAGUGUUCACCUCCAAUACCCUCUGUCUGCAUUCUAAGAGCGAGCCUAAGAUCUUCACAUUUGAUCAUGUGGCAGAUAUGGACACCA